AUUGAACGCUGGCGGCAGGCCUAACACAUGCAAGUCGAGCGGAUGAAGGGAGCUUGCUCCUGGAUUCAGCGGCGGACGGGUGAGUAAUGCCUAGGAAUCUGCCUGGUAGUGGGGGAUAACGUCCGGAAACGGGCGCUAAUACCGCAUACGUCCUGAGGGAGAAAGUGGGUGAUCUUCGGACCUCACGCUCUCAGAUGAGCCUAGGUCGGAUUAGCUAGUUGGUGGGGUAAAGGCCUACCAAGGCGACGAUCCGUAACUGGUCUGAUAGGAUGAUCAGUCACACUGGAACUGAGACACGGUCCAGACUCCUACGGGAGGCAGCAGUGGGGAAUAUUGGACAAUGGGCGAAAGCCUGAUACAGCCAUGCCGCGUGUGUGAAGAAGGUCUUCGGAUUGUAAAGCACUUUAAGUUGGGAGGAAGGGCAGUAAGUUAAUACCUUGCUGUUUUGACGGUACCAACAGAAUAAGCACCGGCUAACUUCGUG
RNAcentral lists this ribosomal RNA (484 nucleotides) under uncultured bacterium. RNAcentral's name for it is "partial 16S ribosomal RNA". It matches the Rfam family "Bacterial small subunit ribosomal RNA", at positions 30 to 507 of the family's 1533-position model. The record is from RNAcentral.